Notolabrus celidotus (New Zealand spotty) is the source of this 443-nucleotide long non-coding RNA. RefSeq lists it as uncharacterized. The transcript has 2 exons. Lineage: Eukaryota; Metazoa; Chordata; Actinopteri; Labriformes; Labridae. The record is from RefSeq and is a predicted model, not a curated record.
GGCAACAUAACCUCUGCCUUCUUUAUUCAGCUCUUUUUUUAGUUAAAUCAAACAAUUGUCUUACCAUGGUUAACUCCCAUUUUCCCAUCUCGUCUCGUCACUUAAGGAGUGCUGCAGUCCAUCUUCACAGGAAUUGUUGGACUAAUAAUCGGUAGUUUCAGGAUCCUGCUCUGUGUGUUUUCCCACCAUAUGCUGCCCCAUAGUGUGUUCCCAUAGUGUCACCUCGGUCCAGCUUGUUUUCUAGUGUUUGACUUUUGCCUUUGCCUGCUCCAUUGGAUUCUGUUUGCCUUAUGGACUGUACCAACCUGGACUGUUAUUUAAACCUUGUCUUUUAUCACACCUUCCUGAGUGAGCAUGUGUUUGGGUCCAUUUAUCUGUUGAGUUGUGUCAGUCAUGACUUUCAAAAAUGUGAAUAACGUUCAACAAUAAAAAAUCAAAUCGUU